GAAAUGCGAUACUUGGUGUGAAUUGCAGAAUUCCGUGAAUCAUCGAGUCUUUGAACGCACAUUGCGCCCCCUGGUAUUCCGGGGGGCAUGCCUGUCCGAGCGUCAUUGCUGCCCUCAAGCACGGCUUGUGUGUUGGGCCUCCGCCCCCCUCCCGGGGGGCGGGCCCGAAAGGCAGCGGCGGCACCGCGUCCGGUCCUCGAGCGUAUGGGGCUUCGUCACCCGCUCUUGUAGGCCCGGCCGGCGCCCGCCGGCGACCCCCCUCAAUCUUUCUCAGGUUGACCUCGGAUCAGGUAGGGAUACCCGCUGAACUUAA
This 313-nucleotide unclassified non-coding RNA is filed under the name uncultured Penicillium. Its description in RNAcentral is "sequence contains ITS1". The stretch from base 1 to 105 matches the Rfam family "5.8S ribosomal RNA", at positions 50 to 154 of the family's 154-position model. Lineage: Eukaryota; Fungi; Ascomycota; Eurotiomycetes; Eurotiales; Aspergillaceae. The record is from RNAcentral.